RNAcentral lists this ribosomal RNA (1281 nucleotides) under Triticum aestivum (bread wheat). Its description in RNAcentral is "partial small subunit ribosomal RNA". Lineage: Eukaryota; Viridiplantae; Streptophyta; Magnoliopsida; Poales; Poaceae. The record is from RNAcentral.
AUGCAGACGCAGAGGUCGCCGGCGAUGGUGGGGGGAGGGCCCGGGUCGGCGGUCGGGUCGCCGUCCCCGGCGACGGUGCCGGUGAGGCGGCGCUGCGAGGGCACGGCCAUGGGGGCCGUCACCCUCGACCUCCGCCCCGGCCUCGGCGUNNNNNNNNNNNNNNNNGGGAUGCCGAUUUCUGAUGCAUUUGCGCAGAUUGAACACCAGCCAAACAUUUACGAUGUUGUCCACGUGAAGUACUUCGACGAGGAGCCUCUAAAGUUGGACUUCGUCAUAAGCUUUCCGGAUCACGGGUUUCACUUACGCUUCGAUCCUUGGUCCCAGAGGCUUCGUCUCAUCGAGAUUUUUGAUGUUAAGAGACUGCAAUUGCGUUACGCGACGUCUUUAAUUGGCGGUCCAUCGACGCUAGCCACUUUUGUAUCUGUUUAUGCUCUAUUCGGACCGACUUUCCCUGGGAUAUAUGAUAAAGAGAGGGGCAUGUAUACCCUCUUCUAUCCAGGUUUAUCAUUCGCAUUCCCUAUCCCCAGUCAAUAUACAAAUUUCUUCAACAAUGGGGAAGUGGCAGAUUUGCCCCUGGAAUUUCCCGAUGGAACAACUCCGGUUACGUGUCGUGUUUCUAUAUAUGAUAGCUCAACAGAUAGCAAAGUUGGUGUUGGAUCAUUGAUGGAUAAGGCAGUUAUUCCUGCCUUACCUGCGGGCAGCCUAUAUAUGGAGGAAGUACAUGCAAAGCUUGGUGAAGAGCUUUGGCUCACUACUGGGGGGCAGCAUAUUCCUUUCGGAGCAUCGCCACAGGAUAUCUGGACCGAAUUGGGUCGUCCAUGUGGUAUCCACCAAAAGCAGGUGGACCAAAUGGUUAUACACUCCGCAUCCGACCUCCGCCCUCGGACUACUCUUUGUGGAGACUACUUCUACAACUACUUCUCGCGUGGUAUAGAUAUCUUAUUUGAUGGUCAGACUCACAAGAUAAAGAAGUUUGUUUUACAUACAAACUUCCCUGGUCAUUCUGAUUUCAAUUCGUACAUGAAAUGCAACUUUGUUAUCUACGAUGCUGAAGCUGAAGGGGCACAGCAGCCGGGUAACACUUCCAAGAAUUGCAUAACACCUCGAACAAAAUGGGAACAAGUCAAGGAGAUCCUUGGCGACUGCGGUCGAGCAGCAAUCCAGACACAGGGCUCGAUGAAUAACCCAUUUGGAUCAACUUUCGUCUAUGGAUACCAAAAUAUUGCUUUUGAGGUGAUGAAGAAUGGAUAUAUUGCCACCGUUACUCUCUUCCAGUCAUGA